GACGAACGCUGGCGGCGUGCUUAACACAUGCAAGUCGAACGGUGAAGCUCCAGCUUGCUGGAGUGGAUCAGUGGCGAACGGGUGAGUAACACGUGAGCAACCUGCCCCUGACUCUGGAAUAAGCGCUGGAAACGGCGUCUAAUACUGGAUACGAGAAGGGUCCGCAUGGGCACUUUCUGGAAAGUUUUUCGGUUGGGGAUGGGCUCGCGGCCUAUCAGCUUGUUGGUGAGGUAAUGGCUCACCAAGGCGACGACGGGUAGCCGGCCUGAGAGGGCGACCGGCCACACUGGGACUGAGACACGGCCCAGACUCCUACGGGAGGCAGCAGUGGGGAAUAUUGCACAAUGGGAGAAAGCCUGAUGCAGCGACGCCGCGUGAGGGAUGACGGCCUUCGGGUUGUAAACCUCUUUCAGCAGGGAAGAAGCGAAAGUGACGGUACCUGCAGAAGAAGCACCGGCUAACUACGUG
This 468-nucleotide ribosomal RNA is filed under the name uncultured bacterium. RNAcentral describes it as "partial 16S ribosomal RNA". It matches the Rfam family "Bacterial small subunit ribosomal RNA", at positions 28 to 507 of the family's 1533-position model. The record is from RNAcentral.